Molecule: long non-coding RNA, 2545 nt
Filed under: Olea europaea subsp. europaea
Lineage: Eukaryota; Viridiplantae; Streptophyta; Magnoliopsida; Lamiales; Oleaceae
Source: RNAcentral
CUCCUUUAGAGCCCAGCCCAUGGAAAUCCAUGGGCCCAUCUCUACCAUUACCAUUUUGAGCUUCCAUUCCAAAUCCACAGCAUUUCAUCAAGCUAAUCAGGAGAGCAUCAUCAAUGGCGAAACCGCUGGGACACACAGGCGAGUUCUUUAGGAGACGGGACGAGUGGCGGAAGCACCCGAUGAUGAUGAACCAGUGGCGCCACGCCACCCCCGGUCUCGGCAUCGCCCUCGUGGCUUUUGGUAUUUACGUUGUCGGUGAAGCUGCCUACAACAAGAUCUACGCACCCAAAUCGCACUCACACACUCACUCUCACUCCAAUUCUGCUUCUGCUUCUUCUGAUUCUUCUACUUCUGCUAUUCAUUAGAAUCCCCCCUCUAUCUACAAGGUAAGAAUCAAUCUUUUUGACGCGGAUAUGCGUAUAGAACGUAGUGGAUUUCUGAUUCUUUGGUGUGGCCAAUAUUUUGGUAAUUCGGAAUUUUGGAUUUAUAUUGGGGUUUGCGUUUCUCAAAUUUAAGAUAUGGGUAUAUCUUAAUUAAAAUACUUGUUUGUGUUAGUCUGUAUCAAUUGGGGACGUCUCAUUUUCUGAAAUUUAGGAUUCUUGAAAAUAUGAACAUGUCCUAUCAACAAGAUAAGCUUACUUAUUGCAAAAAUUGGAAUUUUGGAUGUAUAUUGCCAUUGGCUUAUUUUUCAAUUUUAAGAUAUGGGUCUUCUGUUAAUAUACAUAUUUGUUUUAGACUUUUAGUUUGCGUCAAUUAGGCAUUUCUCAUUUUCUGAAAUUUAGGGUUUUUGAGAAUAUGAACGCAAUCAGACUAUUUUUAAGAAAUGACAUGCCUUGUAUUUAUUUAUGCAUAUUCAAGAUGAGUGGACGGAUGUACAGGCUUUUAACUUCUGUUGGUUGCUAUGAGUAGACGGAUGUACAUAUUCAUUUGUACUCACACAAGCACAAACCUUUUUACGUCUCCAUUUCCCGAAAUCAGGUCGCUGCCUAUAUAAAUCUGUAUAGCUAUUUUAUUGAGAAAAUUGUGUUAACUUGCAGCACAUUGCUAGUAGUUCCAGGUAUAAUUUUCCAUACGAGAGUGCAUAUGCUUCUUAUUCAUGUGAAGGUUUAGAAUGUGUAAUCAAGUUUUAAUUGAUUGAUUAGUAUACGAGUCUUUUGUGGAAUGAAACAAGGGGUUUAGAAUUUUAACUAAUGAAACAUCUGUUUGAAUUCAGCAAAAAAAUUUGCUAGUUUCAAUGUUGUGUGUCCAAUGUUGUGCCCAUAAACAUAGUGUGAGGGUAGUAGCUAAGAUAUUGUCAUGAUUAUGAACACAAAUAGCUAAUUGACAUUUGUAUCACGUCUGCACUUGCUGUGAUUCUCAGUUCAUGAAUAAGACUGUUGUUCUUGCAUCAAUAUUUAAAGCAGACCUAUGAACCAUGAGGCCUUGCCAAAGUGGAACGUUCCUGGCAUGCACAAGAACUGACUUCUCUGCACCAAUGUUUAUAGAAAAUAGACCUUUACUCCUUGCUCUUCAUUACAUUGGUUGGGGUGCUAGUGAAAUCGCGAGAAUAUUUUGAUGUUUUCUAUAUUUUCAAGCGAAGAAGUUACCCACUGUAGAAUUUUUUUUUUUUUAAAAUGCACAAAACAAUCUUUCAAUUACACUACUUUCUAAGGUUUGGGCCCACGAUCAGUAUUAGAAACUUGUUUUAAACAUUCACAAAGGAAUCUUUUUUGCAGUCCUUUAUAAACAAUGUUUCCAGACAGGACGUAAACAUUCUUAGUGUUGUUCUGUUCUUAUGAGUUCUUUGUGGAGGAUUUUCAAUUUUCUAGUUUGGGUGUAGAUUCAGCUAGUUUUACCUUUGGUGAAACUUUGCACAAAAUUUUGAUUAUGAACAGAGUGGGUGGGGCAUGGAAAUCUAUUAGAAACAGCUCUAGCUUGAUUAUAAGAUGCAAGAGGGAUGGUUGCGAUACAUUGGUUCUGCGGAGAGGAAUAGAGUCCAUGAUGGGGUUAAAAUAUAGGGUAAAGUAUGUGAAGAAAGGUCGCGGUUGAUAAAUAGAGGUUUAUGUUUUGGGACAUAAGCAGCAUGUUUUACUUAAUUUUUCAUUGAUAUGUUACUUUGUUGAGAUUCUGAAAAUUUAUUCAGUUAGAUUAACUUUUUACUCUCUUGAUUAUGCAGAUGAAUACCCAGUGCCAAGGAUUAGGCACGAUCAUGUUUCUCACUCUUCUCUGUUUCUCUAUCAGUGUUUAAUAAGUCCUAAGAGACUCGUCUUUUGCCUUCAAUGAGCAGAACUCUGAAUCUGUAACUAACUGAGAAUAGUUGUGUAAUGAAUGGUCUGUAUCUUUUACCCUUAUCUCAUUGUGGUUGUUUUUCUUGUGUUACACUGAUUAUGGUGCCUGUGGUUUAUCAAUUGAGUUGUUCUGUUAAAAAGCAUGAUGUUUUUUGAGUUCUGGCUAUUUAUGUCUGUUUGAACAACUUUGUGAAUUGGAGUUUUUGUAAUGCCAUAUGUCUAAAGAACCAAGCCGCAUGUCUUGAAUUGGGAAUGUCAAACCGUCCUGUUGCUGGGGA